AACGAACGCUGGCGGCAUGCCUAACACAUGCAAGUCGAACGAGAUCUUCGGGUCUAGUGGCGCACGGGUGCGUAACGCGUGGGAAUCUGCCCUUUGGUUCGGGAUAACAGUUGGAAACGACUGCUAAUAACGGAAGAUGACGAAAGUCCAAAGAUUUAUCGCCAGAGGAUGAGCCCGCGUAGGAUUAGCUUGUUGGUGUGGUAAAGGCGCACCAAGGCGACGAUCCUUAGCUGGUCUGAGAGGAUGAUCAGCCACACUGGGACUGAGAUACGGCCCAGACUUCUACGGAAGGCAGCAGUGAGGAAUUUUGGACAAUGGGGGCAACCCUGAUCCAGCGAUGUCGCGUGUAUGAUGAAGGCCAUUUGGUUGUAAAGUACUUUCGUCGGUGAAGAUAAUGACGGUAACCGAAAAAGAAGCUCCGGCUAACUUCGUGCCAGCAGCCGCCGUAA
This 449-nucleotide ribosomal RNA is filed under the name uncultured bacterium. RNAcentral describes it as "partial 16S ribosomal RNA". It matches the Rfam family "Bacterial small subunit ribosomal RNA", at positions 29 to 523 of the family's 1533-position model. The record is from RNAcentral.